Long non-coding RNA from Gallus gallus (chicken), 1297 nucleotides. NCBI's taxonomy places the organism in Eukaryota, Metazoa, Chordata, Aves, Galliformes, Phasianidae. The record is from Ensembl.
CUGAACGAGGUGACCCAACAGAGCUGCAGCAAGUACCAGGAGGAUGGAGGUGGAGGCAGGAGGAACCCACUGAGACCACAGCAGAGCUGAGCUGCACUGCUGCAGUCACUCCCUGCUGCCACAGCUCCUGCGUGACAGUGCUGAGAGCAUCCCGCUAUUAGCAGCCUGGUGAUAGCUCCCGAUGGAACAUGAUUUCUCUGGAAGACGUAAAUUGCAAUCUUAAGGAAGCUCCAUCAGAGCCUGAACCUCCAGAAUUUGUGAUGGAAUAGCAACACAGAAGGAUGUAGUCAACAUCUUUCACACAAGAUUUGAUAAGAAAGUGUCCACUCUAAGCCAGUCAGUCAUCUGGAUUGCAUCUGUGGUCAGUGGAGGGGAUCAGCCACUUCAGAAGAAUUAUGAGUGAUUGAGGCCAAGAAACCAUUAAAUGAGGUGAAAGGUCUGGGCUAGAGGGCAUCUUGAGCAAGUCUAAUGAAGUCAUGGUUGCUUCAGUGGCCACGUUCCCAAGGGAUUUUGCUGUGUCUGUCACUGCAUCUCUGUUCCUCCUCUGGAUCUGGCUCCCUGGGCUUUGCUGUUACGUUCCAGGAACCCUGCGUAGCCCUACACCAGCAGCUCGGUGGCGUGUAGCAUCCCUGUGUCAGAACAAAGACAUGUGGGACAUGAUUUAGCUCAGCCAACAUUUGGUGUCUGUCAUACAGACAUUUACCUGUGGGCUGGUCUUGCCUGCCUGCCUUUAUUGUCAGCAAAGAGCGGCAGGAGCUUACAAGGCACAAUUUAGCUCAACCGAGUGUGAAUUUCUAAUAUAUGCUAAAAGUGCCAAUUUAUCUGUGACUUAAAAUGGAGUCCUAAGGUGAUUAACUCACAAAUGGACGCCUACAGUUUAAAUAUCUCCAUUUGUUCAAUGAACUCUACCCACACAAUGAGCAUUACUCCAGUGCAAACUAUAUAUUAGAGCUUUCUCUGCUGUGUUUGGGCUUAUCCCUUCAUGCAUCUUGUAUUUAAGCCUGUAUCCAGGACUACAGCAAAAUAACUGAAAUGGUUUAGCUUGUGUCCCAACAUGAGCAAGUGGCCUAGGAAGUGCAUGAUGUUUACCUUAUUGUCCUACCCUCUCCUCUUUGCCAUUCCUUUGCAUUACCCUGACCACCCUGCCUCAGCCGCACAGCUCCACUCAUGACUUUGUGUGUCAGAGGCAAGUCUGUUCAACAACAAAAGAAACCCCUGCACCAAGGGUCGGAGCCGGAUGACUGAUCAACAUGGGAGGGCAUGCUCUGCUCCUCUGUACCUAAGUAAACUUCAUCUG